ACAACCAAUGCUAGGAAACCGUUAGAGAAUUAGAGGAAGAGAUUUGACCGUAAUGUAUUUAUAGAGAUUGAAUAGAUGCAAAGAAUAGGUAUUCUAAUUCUCUAUUAACGCUAUGAUUAGAUCUUUAUGUGCUGUUACCACUUAAAAACAUUCAAGUUAGGCAUAGGCAUGCUUACAUUUUCUGUCCUGUUCUCUUGCUUUCUUUGUUUCUUUCUUUUUCUUCUUUAAAGAGAAAAUAAAAAGGAGCAACAUUUGGAUUAGUGAAAGAGAAUGGUUGUGCGUCUUGUGCCUAUUUUGGAGCACCAUUUUAUAUAGUCGGUCAUAACUGUUAUGGACAAUUGGCAUCUUUGGAAACACGUCAAUGUUUAUCGCUUAUUCUAUACAUGUAUACUUGCUUAGUUUACAUGUUAAAAUGAUUUAUGCGCUUUAGGUAACUCGUGGAAUGAUUUGUUUGGCUGGUUUGCAUAACAUAAGUUAUUACUCUCUGUUAUUACUUUUUUAUUACCGUGUCGGCAAUUAGAGGUGUUAUUUGGGCUAUGCGUGCCAAUGCCCAGGGCUCAUUGCCAUGAUUUGUUGUGCUGUGUGGGUCUUGACAAGGUUGCUACCAUCCUUUGCUAGGCUUGGCUGUCUAUUUGUUUACCUUUUUUGAAUUUUUAUUUAAGCUACUGACUAAAAUGGAAAAUUGGUAUGCCAUGCUUUUCCAGCCUGUAACUGCUCUAAAUAGACUAUAUUGCUGAAUAAAAUGUUGGACCAUGGAGUUAUUAGUAUUGAAACCAAUACUGUGGACAUUUGGUGCACAAAUUUUAUAUUGUAAUCCUGUCUAAAAAGUUUCUUCAUAUCACCUUCCUCAAAAAUUGUAAAUCAGUUCCUUAAUGCAGAAGAGACCGCUUCUUUUCCAUUACUGUUUCACCUGUGGACCUUCUGUGUCCUGUUAAACUUAUAAACCCUUAAACUUACCGCAUAGGAUUGUAAAAGACUUGAGCCAAAAAUUCAAUUGCCUUUUCAGAUUAAUGAUAUUAAUUCUUGAACCUGUAUGAUAUGCCAUCUGGUUACAUGGUAUUAUUAUGACAGGAGGUGACAAUGCCACCUGUAUGAUUCCUGAAUCAUUUUGCUAGAAUUGAGGAAAUAGUAUUAGUAUGACAGGAAGAAAAUGGUGAUUGUGAUGCCAAAUAGGUGGAACUUUGAUACAAGGAGAGUAGCACAGCAAUCAUACUUAUAUGCUGUUUGAGACCAACUAUUCAUGACCAUGUCUAUCUUUUCGUCACGUAAAGGCAGUGUUUUUGGCAUUAAUAGAUGGAUGGAUACUUACCUUUUAAAGAUGCAGAUAUUUAGAAUCUAAAUGUCAGCAUAUAAAUUAAUAUGCCAUUUAUUUUCUAUACAUUUUCUCAUUUUCUUUAGAGCACAAUAAAUAUAGUAAGCUUCAGAGUGAUGCCCUCAGAGAAGCUAUUUCAACCAUUUUGACUCAGUCCAAGGAGCGACAGCAUAAGUUUACUGAAACCAUUGAGCUGCAGAUUGAGUUGAAAAACGAUGAUCCCCAAAAAGCAAGCGUUUCAGUGGUUCCAUGAAGCUGCCACACAUUCGUUGCCCUAAGAUGAAGAUCUGCAUGCUUGGAGAUGCUCAACAUGUUGAAGAGGCAGAGAAGACAGGCUAGGAUUAUAUGGACGUGGAAGCACUGAAGAAGCUAAACAAGAACGAGAAGUUGGUGAAGAAGCUUGCCUAGAAGUAUCAUUCCUUUUUGGCUUCUGAAUCUGUCAUCAAGCAGAUCCCUCAUCUCUUUGGUCCUG
Durio zibethinus is the source of this 1784-nucleotide long non-coding RNA. RefSeq lists it as uncharacterized. The record is from RefSeq and is a predicted model, not a curated record. Lineage: Eukaryota; Viridiplantae; Streptophyta; Magnoliopsida; Malvales; Malvaceae.